Molecule: ribosomal RNA, 104 nt
Filed under: Brasolia cf. altissima MD-2010
Lineage: Eukaryota; Viridiplantae; Streptophyta; Magnoliopsida; Asparagales; Orchidaceae
Also listed under: 5 other names
Description: 5.8S ribosomal RNA
Rfam family: 5.8S ribosomal RNA
About the family: 5.8S ribosomal RNA (5.8S rRNA) is a component of the large subunit of the eukaryotic ribosome.
Source: RNAcentral
AAUAUGACUCUCGGCAAUGGAUAUCUCGGCUCUCGCAUCGAUGAAGAGCGCAGCGAAAUGCGAUACGUGGUGCGAAUUGCAGAAUCCCGUGAACCAUCGAGUCU